GUUGGGGUCUUCAGCGAUCUGGCGUGGGCUAUGAUGUUCAGGGCUCUGAUAGUGUUGUCCCGUACCUCUCUCCCUGGGAUGAAUCCCGUUUGGUCCGGGUGUACUGCCGUGGGUAGGAGUGGUGCUAGGUGCGCCUCGAGGACGCUUGCCAUGAGUUUGAUGUCCGAGUUUAGUACGGAGAUCGGGCGGUAGCUCAGAAAAAGUGUAGGAUCUUUGCCCUCCUUAGGUAGGAGGGUGAUGUUUGCCGCUGUGAACUUAUAA
Non-coding RNA from Pelobates cultripes (western spadefoot toad), 261 nucleotides. The record is from the annotation of a GenBank genome assembly. NCBI's taxonomy places the organism in Eukaryota, Metazoa, Chordata, Amphibia, Anura, Pelobatidae.